RNAcentral lists this ribosomal RNA (253 nucleotides) under uncultured bacterium. RNAcentral's name for it is "partial 16S ribosomal RNA". It matches the Rfam family "Bacterial small subunit ribosomal RNA", at positions 524 to 776 of the family's 1533-position model. The record is from RNAcentral.
UACGUAGGGUGCGAACGUUGUCCGGAAUUAUUGGGCGUAAAGGGCUCGUAGGCGGUUUGUCGCGUCGGGAGUGAAAACCCAGGGCUUAACCCUGGGCUGGCUUUCGAUACGGGCAGACUAGAGGUAUGCAGGGGAGAACGGAAUUCCUGGUGUAGCGGUGAAAUGCGCAGAUAUCAGGAGGAACACCGGUGGCGAAGGCGGUUCUCUGGGCAUUACCUGACGCUGAGGAGCGAAAGUGUGGGGAGCGAACAGG